RNAcentral lists this ribosomal RNA (463 nucleotides) under uncultured bacterium. RNAcentral's name for it is "bacterial SSU rRNA". It matches the Rfam family "Bacterial small subunit ribosomal RNA", at positions 28 to 507 of the family's 1533-position model. The record is from RNAcentral.
GACGAACGCUGGCGGCGUGCUUAACACAUGCAAGUCGAACGAUGAAGCCCUUUCGGGGGUGGAUUAGUGGCGAACGGGUGAGUAACACGUGGGCAAUCUGCCCUGCACUCUGGGAUAACUCCGGGAAACCGGGGCUAAUACCGGAUAUGACCACUUCGGGCAUCCGUGGUGGUGGAAAGCUCCGGCGGUGCAGGAUGAGCUCGCGGCCUAUCAGCUUGUUGGUGGGUGAUGGCCUACCAAGGCGACGACGGGUAGCCGGCCUGAGAGGGCGACCGGCCACACUGGGACUGAGACACGGCCCAGACUCCUACGGGAGGCAGCAGUGGGGAAUAUUGCACAAUGGGCGAAAGCCUGAUGCAGCGACGCCGCGUGAGGGAUGACGGCCUUCGGGUUGUAAACCUCUUUCAGCAGGGAAGAAGCGCAAGUGACGGUACCUGCAGAAGAAGCACCGGCUAACUACGUG